Molecule: ribosomal RNA, 440 nt
Filed under: uncultured bacterium
Lineage: Bacteria
Description: partial 16S ribosomal RNA
Rfam family: Bacterial small subunit ribosomal RNA
Source: RNAcentral
CCUACGGGCGGCUGCAGUGGGGAAUAUUGCACAAUGGGGGAAACCCUGAUGCAGCGACGCCGCGUGAGUGAAGAAGUAUUUCGGUAUGUAAAGCUCUAUCAGCAGGGAAGAAAAUGACGGUACCUGAUUAAGAAGCCACGGCUAACUACGUGCCAGCAGCCGAGGUAAUACGUAGGGGGCAAGCGUUAUCCGGAUUUACUGGGUGGAAAGGGAGCGUAGACGGCAGCACAAGUCUGGAGUGAAAUGCCGGGGCUUAACCCCGGAACUGCUUUGGAAACUGUGCAGCGAGAGUGCAGGAGAGGUAAGUGGAAUUCCAAGUGUAGCGGUGAAAUGCGUAGAUAUUAGGAGGAACACCAGUGGCGAAGGCGGCUUACUGGACUGUAACUGACGUUGAGGCUCGAAAGCGUGGGGAGCAAACAGGAUUAGAUACCCUUGUAGUC